RNAcentral lists this ribosomal RNA (395 nucleotides) under uncultured bacterium. Its description in RNAcentral is "partial 16S ribosomal RNA". It matches the Rfam family "Bacterial small subunit ribosomal RNA", at positions 523 to 918 of the family's 1533-position model. The record is from RNAcentral.
AUACGUAGGGUGCAAGCGUUAAUCGGAAUUAAUGGGCGUAAAGCGUGCGCAGGCGGUUUUGUAAGAAAGUGGUGAAAUCCCCGGGCUCAACCUGGGAACUGCCAUUGUGACUGCAAGGCUGGAGUGGGGCUGAGGGGGUUGGAAUUCCGCGUGUAGCAGCGAAACGCGUAGAUAUGCGGAGGAACACCGAUGGCGAAGGCAAUCCCCUGGGCCUGCACUGACGCUCAUGCACGAAAGCGUGGGGAGCAAACAGGAUUAGAUACCCUGGUAGUCCACGCCCUAAACGAUGUCAACUGGUUGUUGGGGAUUUAUUUUCUCAGUAACGAAGCUAACGCGUGAAGUUGACCGCCUGGGGAGUACGGCCGCAAGGUUAAAACUCAAAGGAAUUGACGGGG